Molecule: unclassified non-coding RNA, 131 nt
Filed under: plant metagenome
Description: partial contains 5.8S ribosomal RNA, internal transcribed spacer 2, and large subunit ribosomal RNA
Source: RNAcentral
CAACGUCACAAUCGAUCACCUUCGACGGUCUUAUUGAGCAUGGUCACAGGAAUGACGACAGAAUCGCAUAUAGAAACAUACAAUCAGCAUCGCCCGCUGCUUUUCGGAAUAGCCUGGCGGAUGCUUGGCAA